GGUUUUUUGUAUUAAGAUGAAAGAUCGUACCUGCCCGGUGAGGAUUUUAACGGCCGCGGUAAAUUUAACUGUGCGAAGGUAGCAUAAUCAAUUGUUCAUUAAUUGUGGACUAGAAUGAAUGGUUUGACUAAAAAUUAGUUGUCUUAUUUUUAAUUUGAAUUUCAUUUUUCUGUGAGGAGUCAGAAAUGAAUAAGUGGGACGAGAAGACCCUGUUGAGCUUUAUAAUAGUUAAUGGGUGGAGUGUAAGUUGUGUAACUACAUUAAAUUUUAUUUUACUGGGGCGGUAAUAAUAUGUGAACAAUUAUUAAUCUUAUACUUAUAGGUGAUAUAAUGAGCCAAUAACAUUGAUUAUUAGACUAAGUUACUGCAGGGAUAACAGCGUAAUUUCAUUUUGGAGUACAAAUUUGUGAUGAAGAUUGCGACCUCGAUGUUGAUUUAGGAUUCCUUCUUGGUGCAGAAGCUAAGAAAUUAAAGGUAGUCUGUUCGACUAUUAAAAUCCUAUA
This 503-nucleotide ribosomal RNA is filed under the name Newportia sp. IZ-18822. RNAcentral's name for it is "partial small subunit ribosomal RNA". It matches the Rfam family "Bacterial large subunit ribosomal RNA", at positions 1817 to 2600 of the family's 2925-position model. The record is from RNAcentral. Lineage: Eukaryota; Metazoa; Arthropoda; Chilopoda; Scolopendromorpha; Scolopocryptopidae.